CGUGUAGGUGGGGUGGUAAGUUAGGGGUGAAAACUUGCAGCUUAACUGUAAGCGUGCCUUUAAUACUGCCACUCUUGAGUGCGACAGAGGGAAGCGGAAUUCUUGGUGUAGCGGUGAAAUGCGUAGAUAUCAAGAAGAACACCGGUAGCGUAGGCGGCUUCCUGGUUCGUAACUGACACUGAGGCGCGAAAGCGUGGGGAGCAAACA
Molecule: ribosomal RNA, 207 nt
Filed under: uncultured bacterium
Lineage: Bacteria
Description: partial 16S ribosomal RNA
Rfam family: Bacterial small subunit ribosomal RNA
Source: RNAcentral